This 466-nucleotide long non-coding RNA is filed under the name Helianthus annuus (common sunflower). RNAcentral describes it as "sRNA HanXRQr2_Chr16g0733021". Lineage: Eukaryota; Viridiplantae; Streptophyta; Magnoliopsida; Asterales; Asteraceae. The record is from RNAcentral.
UUCGACGAUUAAAUUCCGAUUAUACACCGAGUUAUCGUCCAAAUACUCUAAAAACACACACGCGAAUCACUAAUUAGUAUAGCAGGGUGCUGCUACGAUACAGGGUAUUAACUCGAUCGCUAUUACGAUUCAUUUUCCGACCGAUCAAUAUAUCCAAUGGAUGUUUAAGUGCCACCCACAUUAGGGUUAUACUUUGUCGUUCGUCGUUAAAUCGAUGGAUGUUUAAGUAUCGCACUUUGUCGUUCGUUGUGAGAAUUUGAUCUCGUGAGUUAUCGUAAUUCUUGUAUUAAGUUACCUACCUAGUUCGUGUGCACUAGGUUACAAGGCUAAAUCAAUAGGCUAAGUUCUGCCUGUAUAAAUCUGCAAUAUAUCAAGGCUUAUCUGUAGACUAAACUUUGGCCGUAUGAAUCUGCAUGAUUAUAAUGUAAUUACAGUAGAUUGGAGUAAGGAUUGGAUCCGGCACUAA